This is a long non-coding RNA of Misgurnus anguillicaudatus (oriental weatherfish), 822 nucleotides long. RefSeq lists it as uncharacterized. Lineage: Eukaryota; Metazoa; Chordata; Actinopteri; Cypriniformes; Cobitidae. The record is from RefSeq and is a predicted model, not a curated record.
CAUUGCAUGACAUUACGGUGAGCACUUGUGGAAAAAGAAAUCAGUGCCUAAUCAGAAAGUUGUAAAGAACCAUGCACAGUUUUGUGAUCAUAUAAACAGAAGAAAUUAUAUGCAGAUCUGAAAUAACAAUUGAAGAAACGCGUAUCAAAUGCUGUAAACUGUCACGGCAAAAGCCUGCCGUUUUAUCUUUUUGUAGUUAAGAAUAGAAGCUGUUUUUCUGGCGUGUGAUAUUCGCUGUAACAAUAGCCCGGCCGAAUAAUCAGAAACAGAUUUAUCAUCAAAUUUCCUGGAUAAAUGUGAAUGCUGGACACACGUGGGCUGUAGAUACACAUUAAUCUGAAUCUCUUGCUGUUUUUUCAGGUCAUAAAGUUUAAAGAGCAUGCAAGGAUUCCUUAAUAUUCCCCUGGCUGCACUGAUUGGACAAACAGAUACCCCGCCCCUAAACUGACGCCAUUGUUCAGUAUUCAUCAUCUGCUUUGAUAAAACCAUUUCAUGGUGCGAUACCAUGGCCGAGUUGUCAGCCAUUGAUGGGAGAAGCAAUCAGAGAUGUUGUACAGUGGACACGUGUCCCAGCGUCCACCUGACAUCCGAUAGGAAACGAGCCUCCGUCGCACGUGCCACGAUGUCAACGGUGCCGGAGCAGGACAAGUGGGAAAAUACAUCAAUGGAAGAUUUUUAGUGCUAAAUAGAGAUAUAUUUGAUUGUGUAGUUGCAAUAAAUCUAAAAAAAGAUUGUUCUCAUUUUAAUACUCAAUCUCUCAGGGUUAUUAAGAGUUUGGGAACUGCAUUUGGGUUUCACAAACUGCAUAAUGUUUCACGACAC